RNAcentral lists this long non-coding RNA (220 nucleotides) under Amborella trichopoda. RNAcentral describes it as "long non-coding RNA (ATRI_LNC004980)". Lineage: Eukaryota; Viridiplantae; Streptophyta; Magnoliopsida; Amborellales; Amborellaceae. The record is from RNAcentral.
ACCACUUGACUGAAAUUACAGCAACAUGUAAACACCUUUAACUCACAUAUACAUAGUCAAAACUAUCCCAAAAGAGAAAAUUACAUGACUCCAAAUCAGCCUCCAAACUAGUAUACAACUUGAAGCAACACAAAAAGAUUGCGUGUGAUGCCCCAAAAUUACAUACCUAAACAAAAUCACAUUCAAACAAUCCUCAACUUGUACACUUGGAUGACAUAAA